UGUGGGUCCGCCAACAGCGCGCUUGGAACCCCGUCAGGCCCGGAAGGGAGCAGCGGUAGCAAGAAAGCGGGUGUGGUGGGCCCUUUCCC
RNAcentral lists this signal recognition particle RNA (89 nucleotides) under Myxococcales bacterium. RNAcentral's name for it is "signal recognition particle sRNA small type". It matches the Rfam family "Bacterial small signal recognition particle RNA". From Rfam's summary of the family: The signal recognition particle (SRP) is a universally conserved ribonucleoprotein involved in the co-translational targeting of proteins to membranes. Archaeal SRP consists of a 7S RNA and homologues of the eukaryotic SRP19 and SRP54 proteins. The record is from RNAcentral. RNAcentral also lists the same sequence under 1 other name. Lineage: Bacteria; Pseudomonadati; Myxococcota; Myxococcia; Myxococcales.